AGAGUUUGAUCCUGGCUCAGAUUGAACGCUGGCGGCAUGCUUUACACAUGCAAGUCGAACGGCAGCACGGGGGCAACCCUGGUGGCGAGUGGCGAACGGGUGAGUAAUGCAUCGGAACGUGUCCUGUAAUGGGGGAUAACCUAUCGAAAGGUAGGCUAAUACCGCAUACGUCCUGAGGGAGAAAGCGGGGGAUCGCAAGACCUCGUGUUAUAGGAGCGGCCGAUGUCGGAUUAGCUAGUUGGUGGGGUAAAGGCCUACCAAGGCGACGAUCCGUAGCGGGUCUGAGAGGACGGCCCGCCACACUGGGACUGAGACACGGCCCAGACUCCUACGGGAGGCAGCAGUGGGGAAUUUUGGACAAUGGGGGCAACCCUGAUCCAGCCAUGCCGCGUGAGUGAAGAAGGCCUUCGGGUUGUAAAGCUCUUUCGGCCGGGAAGAAAUCGCGCCAGCUAAUA
RNAcentral lists this ribosomal RNA (455 nucleotides) under uncultured bacterium. Its description in RNAcentral is "bacterial SSU rRNA". It matches the Rfam family "Bacterial small subunit ribosomal RNA", at positions 8 to 465 of the family's 1533-position model. The record is from RNAcentral.